Lolium perenne is the source of this 4633-nucleotide non-coding RNA. Lineage: Eukaryota; Viridiplantae; Streptophyta; Magnoliopsida; Poales; Poaceae. The record is from RefSeq and is a predicted model, not a curated record.
GGUAUAAACGAUGCCCCCCAUAGGGGGCCUCUGAGACUAUCCACGGUAGGCACUCGCGCUUAGGGAUUGGCCGCUGGCUCGCUUUGCCUCCACCCAGCUGGGCCACGUGUCACGACUGGAUUGGGCCGGUUCGGGUCCAAAAUAUCUCUCCUCAGCCAACCCAAUCGAGCGACAACCCUAUCCUCUCCCUGUUCGUCUCCUCCCCGAACCCCCCACAUCGCUCAGCCGCCACCGCCGCUCGCGCUGCCUCCUCACCAUCCCCUGCAGCAGCGCCGUCUGGCUCCACCCAGACGGAGCAGCGCCGUCUCGCUAUCGCCGGGAGUUACUCCGCCCCACGCUGGACCGGAUCCACGGUGAGGGGAUCGCCGCCUGCAGCGACCGGCGAUUCGAGGUGAACGACCUCGCCCAUCUGCUGCUCUUGCCUCGAUGGACGGCAGCACCUGCCGCCGGCCGCAAACCUCGUCGUCCCCUGCAGCGACCGGCGAUUCGAGGUGAAGGACCUCACCACUCCGCUGCUCUUCCCCUAUGACGCAACCUCGAUGAAAGGCACAAUCGCCAGGAGUCUGGCGAUUGGAGGUGAAGGACCUCGCCCCUGGAUGGCCCUGCAGCCCUGCAGUGACUGGCGAUUGGAGGUGAAGGUCCUCGCCCCUGGACGGCAGCACAGCUACGGAGUUUGCCGGCGCCUUGUUCUACAGCCCCUACCUGAGCUGUUGAUCCUGGCGUCUCCGAGAGCUACUGCCAGUCCCCGAGCACCUGGCGCCGACCACCUCCACGACUAGCUACUGUAGAUUAGGUGAUCUCGAAGUCACUUGGUCUCCAUGAUACAACAUUGGCUGAUUUUGGUUGGCUCGCACCAUGGAGCGGUAGUGCGUGCUCAUUGACCGACGUUCGCAACGCUGGCUGACUACAUAUUCAAGGAAGGUAAUACGUGUGCAAUCAGCGUGUGUGUUGUGAUGAAUGGACAUGUCAUCUUGAUUUUGUUAGCUUCAGUUUCAUUAAUUUCGGAGUAGAAAACUUGAUGUGUGUGUGUGUGUGUGUAUGCACGACUUUGUGGCGGCUGUUCGGUGGUGGAGGAGGAAGGUUCGUUUUCAUCUUCUUCGUGGAGAUCGACUUCAUUCAUGACUGGCUAAACAAUGGGUUCAAGAAUAGUAGGACAAGGGUGGAAUUCUUAGCAAUCACGUCCGCUCGCGAGAGCAAGUAGAGUCGAUUUGGGAUUUUUCUUUGUUGCAGGUUGGACUUCUAAAUUUAUCACUCUGUUAAUUGUUUCUCGUGACUUUUCUUCUCUCCACCAAUUACUUGAAGAACCAAUUUAUACAGUAUUUUGUGGCAGCAGCUAACACAUUGGGUCUAAGUGAAAUUUGUUGUUGUGGUGAGAACUUGGUUUCUUCUUCGUGGUUGGAACCUGAGACAACACACUGGAGGAUUCAUCACCGAGCUUAGUCACUGCAACCUGAACAAGAGGACUCAAACAAUAAGGAUGUAGAGUAAUGAGAGAACAAGCAACCACCAUGUCAUAUAUAGUAGUUGAUCUGGAGCUAUAUCCUACCCACGAAGGAUCUAUUUUUUGUAUUUUGCUUUGAUAUUUUCUUCUUGGCACUUCAAAGUUGGUAUCAGGAAUAUGAUGAUCCAUCACAGAGAAACUUUACAAAGUGUGUGACCAUCUACCUUAAUUCAUUUUGUAUGGUAGCAGAUCGAUCCUACAUGAACAAAUGAACAAUCCAUCUUAGCCGAGAUUUUUUAUACAAGGAGCAUUCUUGUAAGGUUGGCUUCGUGGUGGCGUGGUUAGGACAGUGGCACCACAAAUUCUCGCCUCGAGCUACCUACUCUUCUCCCAUGUCCUUGGGUUCUCCCUCCCAGCGUCGUUUGUUCCACCAUCUCUAACUUGUCGGAGAGGCCGAUGGAUAAUGAAUUGCUGGUUCGAUAUUUUGUUGGUCUACAAGUUGUUGCUAUGCUAGGAGGCAUUUUUUUGCAGAUUGUUUUGCACUGCCAUCAUUUAUAUAGUUUAAAUGGUGACAUUAUUACACAUAUUUUUUUAAAUGAAUUUGGAGAUUAUCAGGUCUGGGGCAUAUAUGCUACUAAAAUAGUGUUUUUUCUACCUUGGAUAUAUGUAUCUGUUCCUGAUCUCUAAUAUGUCUUGUCAAAAUUGUGUAUUUCAUUCUUGAACAAAACUAGGAGAGAGCAUAUGAAUUAAGAUUUGCUCAUAUAUAUCUUGCGAGCAAGUGUCUCUUAUGAUCCAUGUGGUGAAGAUUCUUCGUUGUACAUUGUUUGUAUCUUCAUGAAUAAUCUUACGAGCCACCUUAUGAUAUUUUCUUAUUUCGUUUUGAACAUCUGAACUUGGGUUUUCCAAGGUAAAGUAGAAGAAUGUGUACACGCUUAAUGCCUUAAGUCCAGCUUGAGAGGACAUAAAGAAUAAUUUUUAUUUCUGUAUGGCCAUGAUUAUGAUGUCAAACAAAUGCAUAUGCUUGCCUUUCAGAGUUUCUACCAUUUGCAUGUGUUGCAUUUUUUAAUUAAAUAUUUGCUAAUAGUAUGAAGGAUGAAAAAGGUAUGGACAUCCAGCUUCAUUUUAAUCAACGCUCCUUCCUAAGAAUGCCCCAUUUCAGAAUAAACUGAAGGAUGAAAAAGAUUUUUUCGGAGGAGCCUGUCGGUGUUGUUACUGGUUCUAACAUGACUAAGCGCCGACAUGCCAGGUGCUAUAUUCUUUCCCCUUUCUUGGCAUAGUUCUAUGUAUAUAUUUCGGAUUGAGAGUAAGCUUCGCUUCUGAUGUUUCAGGGGGUGUUACCCAGCCUGAAGGAUUAUAACUACAAUAGAUGAAUAGGCUGAAGAAGAAAUGUACUAAAUGUCUCCUGCAACAGUUAAGCGAGAUAUGCGUACAUUAAACGGUUUAGCAAUUGAUGGGAUUCUUUCAUAGAUGAUAUAUAUUUAGAUUUUAACAAAGUUUGAUCUAUUUGAAAUUAGUUAAUAUUUUUAGAACAAUUGUAUUUAAGAAACAUAACAGGGGCAGCUCCAUGCAUACCUUAGACAGCUUCCUGCAUAAAUUCUAUAGCUUGCAAUAACAUGGUCCAACCAUUUUCCAACUAUUGAAUUCUUUCUGAUUGUCUCUCUUUCAUGUUCCUAACAGUUGCCAUAUCCUUUUGCAUUGCACUGAUACCUUGAUCCAUAAAUAAAAACAUUUAGUAGCUACAUUUAGUCCUAACAGCUAAUCUACUUCCACUAAGUUUUUUAAUAACUUCCUUUAAAAUAAUCUUGCCAGAUAUGAAAAUAAUCCCCAAGUCGUCUGCAUUUUCAAUCAAGGUAUUUAAUUAUGUUAAUUGUGUAAUAUUAGAUAUGUAAACUCGAUUAUGGCAAAAUAUAUUACCUCCAGCCCCUCGAUGUUGAUCCUUUUUGUAUGAACAGAACAGACCUGCACAAACCAAUUGCAUAGGUUUUUGUAAAUCAGCAACGGAAAGUUGUACCCAUGGAAAUUCUACGGUUCAACACUAGAAUGAAGGGCUGAAUUCAGAGACUUGAAUUCUGUUAAUAAAUCUAUUCCACAGUAAAGUUUGUCUCAAGAGAACACAAAUUGCAGGCCAUAAUAAACCAGAAGUUUUGGAAUAUACAAUAAGGUCAAAUUUGCCAGAAAUACCUGCUCCACAAUUAGUCGAUUCUCGGCCAUCAAAUUGCAGAAAUACUAUUUGGUGCAUUGGAAAAUAUGGUUUGGGUUUCUCUCAUAUUCUUCUCGCAGGUCUACGAUCCCACGGCUGGAACAAAUAGCUUACAUUUACUCUGUUCUUCCUCAAAUCAUUGUAUGGAAUAUUAAGAUCCUAUUCAGUCUAAAGCAGUUCGUCAAAUACUAUAGCUGCAAAUGGGGUUUUGUAUAGGAGCAAUAUUUUCAUUGGAAUUUUUCAUGGUACCCUUACAACGCAUCUAUUCAGGGAGAUUUGAUCCUCUUCAGUCUAAAGCAGUUCGUCAAAUACUAUAGGCGCAAAUGGGGUUUUGUAUAGGAGCAAUAUUUUCAUUGGAAUUUUUCAUGUUACCCUUACAACGCAUCUAUUCAGGGAGAUUUCUUUGCUGCCACUGUAGAACUAUUGCUAGCUGAUGAAGGAUUUUCUUUCCAUCCAUUGUUAGGUGAGUUGUACUAGAUGCUGAUUAAAAUUUCAAGCAUGUGUAGCGUGUGUAGUACUGUAUUCGAUGAUAGCGCAGACACAAUAUGCUAUGGGGGCCCGUGGUUACCGCGGUGUUUUCCAAGUAAUUGCACUUGAUGAGUCUUGGGUACCGACCACGGAGACAAGAAAUAUUGUGUACUGAGAGGUGCUUGGUCAUCUCUAGAUGCUUUGGUUAAUACAUAGAUUUCUCCCUUCCAUAUUAUUCUAUUUUCACUUUCUAUGUUCUAUCAGUUAAUAUUCACUUGCAUUGUUUUGUUUUUCAGUGUCCAUUAUCCAUCAGCAUUUGAGAUGAUUGGUCGCUUCUAGAUGUGUUAGUUCACAUAUACAUGGUGUGUUUCCAUUGAAGCCAUACCAGCUCUGGUGCACAUCAAAAUGCUCCCGUUGUAUCUUAUGGAUUUGACCCAAACCUCUCUCUGGAUGUUAAAUAUAAAUGUCCACUACUUGACGUGGUUGUGCCAGCUGAUGCAAUUCUAGAUGGUGUGUUUUCUUUA